Molecule: ribosomal RNA, 253 nt
Filed under: uncultured bacterium
Lineage: Bacteria
Description: partial 16S ribosomal RNA
Rfam family: Bacterial small subunit ribosomal RNA
Source: RNAcentral
UACGAAGGGGGCUAGCGUUGCUCGGAAUCACUGGGCGUAAAGCGCACGUAGGCGGUCUUUUAAGUCAGGGGUGAAAUCCUGGAGCUCAACUCCAGAACUGCCUUUGAUACUGAGAGGCUUGAGUCCGGGAGAGGUGAGUGGAACUGCGAGUGUAGAGGUGAAAUUCGUAGAUAUUCGCAAGAACACCAGUGGCGAAGGCGGCUCACUGGCCCGGUACUGACGCUGAGGCACGAAAGCGUGGGGAGCAAACAGG